UGCUGGAGUCACAUGGAGAGAGCACCGAGAGGUAUCUGAAGAGAAUCGACUGCUCUACCCUCCAGCUAUCUGAAUCUUCCUAGCUUAGGCACCAGGUUAGUUCAGAGCCAGUCACUUCGACAUUACACUUCUGCAAUAGACUCUAAGUGAGAAUUGCUUAGCUUAGACCCCACUAUCUCCAGCAAGAUAACAAUACACAGGAUAACAAUAACAAUACACAACUGUCACUUUAAGCUACUGUUUUGGGGUUGGGCAGCAACAGGUAACCGGAACACUCUUUUGUAGAAGGAUGCUACAGGAAAUAGUUCUAUGAAACUUUCUGGUGUAUUCAUUGUUGGGAUUUUUGAGUACAAAGUUUACGACAUCAAUUUCUUUUGAAUUUUAAUGAAAGGAAAAUCUGUAUUUUCUUGAGCAAUCAGUAUACUUUUACUUUAAUACAUUUUUGCUUUGGUUGUUAGGAAGCUCAAAGCUGAAUUUAUGUCCCACUUUGAAUUUAUUUCCCACUUUGUAUUUAUGUCCCACUUUUGUAAGUAAACAGGACCAUCAAUAAUUUAUUUCUGUGUGUUUGCUUUUUAUUUGGCCUUAUCUUAAUUUUUUAAAAAAUUUUAUCAUUUUUCUUUUAAAGACCUUAGUAUAGUGUAUAUAUUGUCAAGCCACUUCCAAAAGUGAAUGCAAAUGAUGUUGGGCUUUUGCUGAACCAGGGUGAGCUGUAAGAUCAUCCAGUAGAUUAGCAAUGAUGGCUGAGACAGUUCUGGCAUUUUAUAACUCAUCAAUGACCUUAUUUUAUAGGAAGAAAAUAAGGCUCUGAAAACCGAAGUAACUGCUGAAAUACACAGAGCGAGUGAGGAGCGAAAUCUCAGCCCAGGAGAAACUGUAUCUUACUACUUAUUCAGCCAUAGAGCACCCACUGGUCAGAUACUGAUUCUUCAUUAAGUGUCAGCUCUGGGCCUGGUUGCUGGAGGAUGGGUUGGUGAUACAAAGAUGAAUAAGACUCAGCUGAGGAAUUGAAUCUCCAGAUUACGCCUGAAGAACAAGAGAUCCCUUCCAACUGGGCGAUCACGAAAGCUUCAGGAAAAAGUGAUACUGAGCUGGGCCUGGAAGGAUGGAAAAGCUUCACACGUGGAGGUAUUAGGAGAGAUAAUUGGGUGAAGGAGGAGAAGAUUAGCUGCGGUGAGUUGAAUACUGGGAAUUUUAGGCCCUGUGGCAUUUGGUGGGGAAGAUAUUUUGAGCAGUAAGGAUUGUGAUACAUCUCAAAUUACACCAGGCAAGUAGUUGCUUACUAUUCUGUUUAUGGGAUCAGCCCUGCCAAGGUAAUACGACCUGCAAAUGUGGAUGGAAAGGACGAGAGAGAGAGAGAGAGAGAGAGAGAGAGAGAGAGAGAGAGAGAGAGAGAGACAGAGAGAAUGCUAACUAAAUCUUCUACAUAGCUGACUGCUCAGAAAACCCAACGCAUGGGACUGUGUUCUGAAGUAACUGCCUAAGACCUUUUAUCAACAAAUCGUUUUCAGACUUUGGUAUGAUUCUAUAAUAUUUCACAGCGCUGCAAACACGGGGCAUUUCGGGACACCCCUGAGGAAUGCAGCGGCAUUCUCAGCUUUCUCUUAGAUGGCUCUGCACUUCUUACAGCCUCCUUGUGACCACAGGAGUCUGGUGAUCAUGGAGCAGUAAGCCCAGCAAAGCCUAAGAGUGGGGCUCUGGAGGGACAGGUCUGCUGUUCUUUUCGGAGAUUGAUGGAUUUGUUACAAUUAGUAACAGGUGGUUUUCCUGAAAUUCUGCAAUUAGCUCUUGAAAUAGGGAAACCUCAGAUCACAUGGGUAGGAUAUUGCUAACGAGGUGAAAACUUACCUGGGUGAUUUAAACAGGUUCCUGCUGGUUUCCUAUAAGUGAAAGUUUAAAUGAUCCUCCUUUCUCAGGAAGACCAAAAUCAAUG
Molecule: long non-coding RNA, 1930 nt
Organism: Callithrix jacchus (white-tufted-ear marmoset)
Lineage: Eukaryota; Metazoa; Chordata; Mammalia; Primates; Cebidae
Source: Ensembl